Molecule: long non-coding RNA, 2085 nt
Organism: Sesamum indicum (sesame)
Lineage: Eukaryota; Viridiplantae; Streptophyta; Magnoliopsida; Lamiales; Pedaliaceae
Source: RefSeq, a predicted model, not a curated record
CACAUAUAAAAACCCUAUCACAAGAGAGAACACACACUAGAUCUCUACAGUCUCUCUUGGUUUUCUCUCUUUCUCGGCUCCUCUCCAUCGUUUCUCUUAUUGAUCUUGGAGAUCGAAGAAAAAUCAAGAAGAUCGAACACGUUAAUUGAUAAGAGUUGUUUGAUUUCUUGCUCUCUGUGGUUGUUCUUGCUAACAGGAGAAAACUACAUCUUCCUAGUGGGAGUGUCGCUAUCUUUAGAUGAUCUCUACAUAGAGAUCUAGAUCUGAGGAGGGGAGUCAACGCUUGAAUUUGGUUCAAGAAAUCAACGAGGGUUUGUAUGGGGCCUUAUUAGCUAGAGGCUGGGAGAUGGGACUUGGGGUGGUGGCUCGAAACGGUAGAGGUACUUGUCUGGGUUGGUUAUCGCGGAGACUGGAUAGGAGAGGCACUGGCGAGGUUGCUAAAGCUUUGGCAGCUUGGGAGGCCAUCCUGCUAGCCGGUCAUUAUCAAAGGAGGCUACGCUAUGCUAAUCAACAAACUCUGGCGGUGUAUCGGGACCUUUGUUUUAUUGGUAGUGUGGCUGACUCAAAAUUUCAAGCUUGAGUCGAGUCAGCUCGAGUUCAAAAUACUUUUUGUUCAUCAAUUUGCUAGCUUUCUAAUUUUUUAUUCUUAUAUACUUUUUAUUUUUCAAAUUUUUAUAUAUUUAACUCCAUAUUCAAUACUUUAUAUUAAAAAUUAACCAUAUAUUAUAAUUAUUAAGUAAUAUCACAUAUUUUAAGUCUAACUAAUGAUAAAAUAUAGUAUUUUUAUUUAUAUAUUUAAUCUCUAUACAAAAAUAAGGUGAAUUAACAAGUUAGUAAGUUCAUUAUUAUUACUAUAUAUGUUUUAUUUAUAUAAUUAAUAAUUUCUUAAAUUAUCAACAGUUUUAAAAAAAUUAGGAAUAUAUUUUUUAUAAAAUAAUUUGGAUUUGUCAAUCUAACAUAAUAAAUAAAUAUUCUAAAAUAAUUUUUAUUUUAAUUAUAAUAAAACUUUAUAAAAUAAAAAAGCUUGAGCCAAAAAAAGUUUUGAGCUCGUUGAGCUCGAACUUGAGCUUGAGCUCAAAAACAAAAUCUCGAGCCGAAUUUUGGCUGAGCUCGACUCGAGCUCUGCUCUUUUACAUUCCUAGUUUAGUUAAAAAAAAUUAUUUAAUAUAUAACAAAUUAGUAAUGAGUAAAUUAAAGUUAAAUAUCAAUUUUCAUUAUUUUUCUUUUUGAGAGGAAAUUGAACACAAGAACUUGUUGGUAUAUGGCCCAAUGCUCACAUAAGCUCAUCUGGCGAAGCCCAUCACACGAUCCACUUGGCUUGACCCACACCGACCCGGUCCACACUCGGUAAACCCGACCCGUGUCUCUACCUAUUUAUUCCCUAAUUCUAAACCCUAGCAGCAUUUUCUCCCCUCUUCUUCUUUGACUUGCGCCGCCCUUCUCUCUUCUCCUAUUCUGCCAUGGAUCUUCUCUGACCAUGUCUUUCAUGGUGGCUUUCCAAAGCCAAUGCAGUGGCUUUCCAAAGCCAAUGCAAUGGCUUUUGGAAAGCCACUGAGGCUUCCUUUUAUAUGUAUUCCUCACAUCUUUAUAAAAGGGGUCAUCCCCUUCGACAGAAAUACACCGUUUCUUCUAUCUACUAUCUAAAAGUUCUGAAUAUUCAAUGCGGUUCUCUGUGACCAGUGUAGAUCUUCGUGAUCUAAGACGAGCCUAUUGCGGAGUAGCCGUGGACUGACUCUGUGUGGUGGCCGGAGUCUCUAUGACAUUGUUACCGGUCUUUUGUCGGCGUCAUUUUAUUGGAUCUGGUUCAAUCUGAGCCUCUCAUCUCUUUUGUUAAAAUAUAAUUUGUUUAUAUUUUUAUUUUACUUAUUUUGGUCUGUAAUCAUAUAAGGAGUUUUAUACUCCGCUUUCUUUGUAAUAGUUUGUUAGGCCAUUCAUUUUAAAGGCAUCACUGAGGGGUUUCCACACUACUGAACUUAUAUAUGUCAAACAGCAUUCAGCAUUCAGCAUACAGUUAACUAUUAGAACCAUAAAGAAACAGGAGACAACAUUUAAAAACAUUGAAAUGGAUGGACCAAUUUACCUUCA